This is a non-coding RNA of Annulohypoxylon moriforme, 142 nucleotides long. The record is from the annotation of a GenBank genome assembly. NCBI's taxonomy places the organism in Eukaryota, Fungi, Ascomycota, Sordariomycetes, Xylariales, Hypoxylaceae.
GGUUUCCUGGUGUAAUGGCUAGCACUGCGGAUUCUGAGUCCCCCCCUGACAUGAGGUACACCUUAAGCGACGGCUAGGGCCCCUUGAUCAGAAAAGGUGGAGGAGACUUCCGCCAAUCUGGGUUCGAUUCCCAGGGAGACCU